This 206-nucleotide small nuclear RNA is filed under the name Triticum aestivum (bread wheat). RNAcentral describes it as "snRNA U2". It matches the Rfam family "U2 spliceosomal RNA". Rfam says of the family: U2 is a small nuclear RNA (snRNA) component of the spliceosome (involved in pre-mRNA splicing). Complementary binding between U2 snRNA (in an area lying towards the 5' end but 3' to hairpin I) and the branchpoint sequence (BPS) of the intron results the bulging out of an unpaired adenosine, on the BPS, which initiates a nucleophilic attack at the intronic 5' splice site, thus starting the first of two transesterification reactions that mediate splicing. Lineage: Eukaryota; Viridiplantae; Streptophyta; Magnoliopsida; Poales; Poaceae. The record is from Rfam by way of RNAcentral.
AUACCUUUCUCGGCCUCUUGGCUAAGAUCAAGUGUAGUAUCUGUUCUUAUCAGUUUAAUAAUAUCUGAUACGUGGAUCAACGGAUCCAUGAGAUAUUAAUUUAUUUAUAUUUUGUGGGGGAGAAACCGUCUAUGUAGCUCGCUGCAUGGACGGGUCUUGUGCGUCGUUAAAGUGUUGCACUUCUGCUUAGAACAGGCGCACCCCUA